ACUUGGAGACAUUUUAAUCACAUAUUAGUAAAAUUAUAAAGUCGAUAGUUUUAUUAAUAGUGAUUAACUCGAUAAAAUCAUCGAGGGGACUUGGCUCUUCAAAUAUGAGCCCAGGUAUCAAUGUUGAAUUGGUCAAGGGCGAUGAUCCAGAAAAUAACGAAUCCGAGUUACUUUAUAAGGAUUCUAAAUCCAAUGAUCAAGAAUUGAAAGCUGCUUUGGAGGUGAUAGGAAAGGUUAUGAAAAUGGAAGAAGCCAAGCCCUACAACGUUCCAGUUAAUCCUUUUGCUCUUGGAAUACCAGAAUCUAGAAAAAGGCGAUAAGUACAUGCGUGUGGAAGAUGUCUUUAAAGAUGUGCAAUAUAUAUGGGAAAACUGUUACAAGUAUAAUAACAAAGGAGAUAUUGUUGUGUAACUUAUGAAGAGGGUGAAGAGGAAUUUCAAAAAGUGUUGGCCAGCUGCUAGUUUAUUCGGUGAUCAACCUCGACACAAGUGGACCAAGUGGUGAUGUUUCUGUUUUUGCUUUUCAUUUGGUUGUGCAUUGUGAUUUGAUUUCGGAAUGUACAUUUCUCAUUUUUGUUGCAUCAGAAUUUGACAAUAGCUCUUUUCAUUUUGCUCUUCUUAUGGGGCAAAGUAUGAUUCUUUGCGUUGACAGUUGACAAAGGUUGAUGGCUUGAAAAAAACUCUCAUGUUUUUUUUUUUUUUUGGGAGA
Olea europaea var. sylvestris is the source of this 708-nucleotide long non-coding RNA. RefSeq lists it as uncharacterized. The transcript has 3 exons. The record is from RefSeq and is a predicted model, not a curated record. NCBI's taxonomy places the organism in Eukaryota, Viridiplantae, Streptophyta, Magnoliopsida, Lamiales, Oleaceae.